RNAcentral lists this ribosomal RNA (130 nucleotides) under Procavia capensis (Cape rock hyrax). The record is from RNAcentral. Lineage: Eukaryota; Metazoa; Chordata; Mammalia; Hyracoidea; Procaviidae.
CCUAAUGACCAUACUACCCUGAAUGCAUCUGAUCUAGUCUGAUCUCAGAAAGUAAGCAGGGUCAGGCCUGGUUUGUACUUGGAUAGGUAUACUGGGUUCUGUAGGCUUGGAAACCUUGGUGACAUUGUAG